GGGUUUAUAGGCUAAAUAUGGCAACUCCUCUUGCUGCGAAAAUAAAUGUUUGGGCUAGUUUCAAGGUCUACCCUGGUGGUGGUGCUCGUGCUUCAAAGUUAUGCAGUAAUCAAAGGCAAUCAUAUAGGAGGGUGAUUUUUACUAAGGAGGAGAAGGAGGCCGUGCUGACCGAUGCAUGGUGGCAAUUUCGGAGUGAAGCGCAUGAUUGCCAAAAUCAACCUACACUUCUUCUGAUGAGGAAUUGUCUUUAAAAUAAAAAGCCCUUUCUCCCCAAUUUCGUGGUAUCCAAUUGUUAGUAGCUACUAUCUUGUCUCAUCGCUACUCGGGAGAGACGAAGGUUGAAAGUCAUGCGUCCUCCGAUACACAACCCAACCAAAGCAGCACUGCUUCUUAAAACAGCACGCAUCCAACCCGGAAGCCAGCCGCACCAAUGUGUCGGAGGAAACACCGUGCACCUGGCAACCUUGGUUAGCGUGCACUGCACCCGGCCCGCCACAGGAGUCGCUGGUGCGCGAUGAGACAAGGAUAUCCCUACCGGCCAAACCCUCCCUAAUCCGGACAACGCUAGGCCAAUUGUGCGUGCCCCAUGGACCUCUCCAAUUACGACAGAGCCUGGGUGCGAACCCGGGGUCUCUGCUGGUGCUGCAGUACAGCGCCCUUAACCACUGCGCCACCCGGGGGGCCCCCUGAUGUGGAAUUGUCAAGGAGGUGGACAGCUGGGCAAGGGAAGUUACCUUUUUGUUUAUCAAUCACAUUCUAUUAUAUCUGAAAUUAUUAUGAUUUCAAUUAAUGUCAUUUCAGAGAGCACAUAAUGUUUCAAUUUGUCACUUUUGCUUAAAGGUCAGUACCCUGUCCAGAAGUUUGAGAGGGCGAAGACUGCCGCGCCGGACUUGAAGCCCAUCGAAGUUGUUACACCAUGGCACAUGAUCGAUCGGGGUGGACCUUAUCGGACCCUUCACUGAAUCCAGCAAUGGCAACAGCUGGUGUCUGACGGCGACCGAUCUCUUUACCAAGUGGUU
Molecule: long non-coding RNA, 1019 nt
Organism: Oncorhynchus tshawytscha (Chinook salmon)
Lineage: Eukaryota; Metazoa; Chordata; Actinopteri; Salmoniformes; Salmonidae
Source: Ensembl